Molecule: long non-coding RNA, 2612 nt
Filed under: Piliocolobus tephrosceles (Ugandan red Colobus)
Lineage: Eukaryota; Metazoa; Chordata; Mammalia; Primates; Cercopithecidae
Description: lncRNA (ENSPTEG00000018446.1)
Source: RNAcentral
GAUACGAUUCCUGAUGGUAUUCCUGAUGGUGCUUCUACCAAUGUCACUACCACCAAUGUUACUACUACCAAUGUCACUACUGCUAAUGCCACUACAAAAAAUAUUACUACAAAAAAUAUUACUACAAAAAAUAUUACUACAAAAAAUAAUUUACUAAACGACAUUACGAAGAUACUCAAAAUAAUAAAAAAAAUAAAACAUAUAUUUGCCCUUGGGAUAGUAUUAACCAUUAUUUCGUCCCUAAUAGAUUCUUAUGUUCCAAUUUGUUUAUCAAAAGCCAUUUCAUAUAUAAUAGAUAUCAGCUCAAGUAAUGUUAUGACCACUGGUACUAGCAUCAGUAGCAACACCAAAACCAAAACUACUAGUGACAUUCGUUUAGUUAGUCCUUUAAUAAUUAACUUUAUAGUUACUAACCCUUUUUAUACUUAUAUAUUAAUUUCGUUUUCAAGUAUAAUAGUUUCUUUGUUACGAUCAUAUAUAUUCAAUAUUUGUACAAAUAUAAGUACCAAUAAAUUACAAAACCAUUUAUUCAAUGUAUUAAUUAAUAAAAAAUUUAAAAAUUUAAAAAAAAAAAAAAAAAAAAGUACUGAACUAAUAAGUAGAAUAAACAUAGAUUCAGUUGAACUAAUAGAUGUAUUUACAACGAAUUUAGUGGUAUUGUUCAGAAAUAUAAUAAAACUCAUAUUAUCAUUUUAUUUUUUAUAUAAAAUAAAUGUACGUCUUUUUAUUUUUUCAUUUUUUAUAGUUUUUAUUAUUUCAAAUAUAUCUAUUUAUUUUACUACUACAUUCCGAAAAAUUGCCAAAGAAGAAUGUGACAUGCUUGAACAUUCUAAUAGUAUUAUACAACAAGUAAUUGAUCGAUUUUCAUUUAUAAAUAUUUUUAACACACAACGUAGAGAAAUACAACGGUUUAAAAACUCAUUAGAUAAUAUAUAUAUAUCUAGAAGAAAAUUAGGUUUUUUAUAUAUUAUUGAAAAAAUGUUAAUACGUUUAAUUGAUCUUACAACUCUUAUUGUUACACUUAUAUUAAGUAAAAUAACAAUACAAAAUAAUAGAUAUACAAACACAAAAUCCAUCGUUUCAUCUGUUAUGUUUAUGAAAAACAUUAUAGCUUAUUCUUGUACUAUCGAACAUCAAUAUGCACGACUUCAAGAACUUAUAAACAACACGGAAAGUAUUUUAGAACUUAUUGAUAAUAAAAAAAUACAUAAAAUAACAAAAAAAUCAAUUGCUAUUGAUAAUUCUUAUUCUUAUCUAUUCAAUUUUGUUAAUUUAAAAAAUUUUAUAUUUAGAAGAUCUAUAAUAAACAAAUUUCAUAAUAUACAGAAAAACACGGAUUAUAUUGCUAAUAUAAUGAAACCUAAUUAUUUAACUCUUUUUGAAAGGAAUUACAACCAAUUAUCAGAUAUAAUACUUGGUAAAAAAAAAAAAAAUUUGUUGCAAAAGGAUAAUAAGAAUAGUACAAAUGAUCUUUCUGCAGGUAAGGAUUUUUCUAACAGCAGUGACAAAAAUAAUUACUGUUAUGAAAAAACCAAAACUGAAUCAAAAAUAAAUAAAAACGAUAACAGUGACAAUUACUAUGAUAAAAAUGAACAAACAUUUACUAAAAAUAGUGAACAUACAAAUGAUUACACAUUGUUACAUAUAGAUAAAAAAAACAACAUUAAUACAAUAAAAAAUAAAACGAAUGACACGAGUGUACAAACGUUCAAAAACACAACGUUGUUAAGUGACAAAAAAUAUAUAUAUAAACAUACUCCAAGUGCUAUCAACCUAAAUAAAAAAUUAAAAGAACAUGACGAUUUUGACAAAACAAACGAAACAAACGAAACAAGCAAAACAAACGCUUUUGUGGAUGAACCAACUAAAAAUAUCAAUUAUAUGGACACAUACAAAAUUUUGUAUAAUAAAUUAAAAAAAACUAAAAACAAAAUAAACAUUGAACAAAUACAACAGUUUAUUAAAAAUGAUAAUAAUCUCAUAAUAAAAAACAAAUUAGAUGAAAAAUUCAUUAAUUUUUUAAAAAAAAAGUAUAAAAAAGAUAUCAUACAUUUAAUAAUUAAAUUAUAUCAACAAAAAAAUCAUUGCAUAAGUGAUAAAUAUUUAUUUAUGUUUGAUAAUAUUUCUUUAUUUAAAAAAUUAAAUAUUCAGGACAAAAAAAGCAUUUUAAAAAUGUGUAAAAUAACAAACAAUACAUUAUGUAUUAUAUUACUUACAAUUUUGUUUUACAAUUAUCCUAAAAUGUAUUAUAAAAAAAAAAAAAAUAAAAAAAAAAUAAACCCUAUGGAACAAAGUAAAAUUAUAAAUAAUGAAAUAUGUACGACUAUCCAUACCGCAUCACCAACCAGAGGAGCAACUGAACAAGCAACGGAAUCUACAAAUACCAUUUCAAAUGUGAUACUCAAUAAAGUCCCCAAUAUAACUAAUGGUAAUUUUUCACAUACUAUCGAUCAUAACAGUGAUUUGAACCAAGCUUCCACCUAUAACAUAAAUAUAAAGAAUGUUUUGAAUAAAGCCACAUCGCUUUAUACAUACAAAAAUACUAUGCAAGAAUCUUUUAAUGAUAGCUUAUCAUAUACAUAUACAAAUAAUAAUAAUAAUAAUAAUAAUAA